GCGCACCAGGCGCGAAACUUUACAAUGUGCGAAAGCACGAUAAGGGAACUCUGAGUGCCUCCUAAGGGGCUGUUCAGGUGUCUAAAAGCACCUGAAGGAAGGGCUAGGUAAGACCGGUGCCAGCCGCCGCGGUAACACCGGCAGCCCAAGUGGUAGCCACGUUUAUUGGGUCUAAAGCGUCCGUAGCCGGCUGGGUAAGUUCCUUGGGAAAUUUGGCUGCUUAACAGUCAAGCUUUCAGGGAAUACUGCCCGGCUUGGGACCGGGAGAGGUCAGAGGUACUCCAGGGGUAGGGUGAAAUCCAUUAAUCCUUGGGGGACCACCGGUAGCGAAGGCGUCUGACCAGACCGGGUCCGACGGUGAGGGACGAAGGCUA
RNAcentral lists this ribosomal RNA (374 nucleotides) under uncultured microorganism. RNAcentral describes it as "bacterial SSU rRNA". It matches the Rfam family "Archaeal small subunit ribosomal RNA", at positions 330 to 713 of the family's 1478-position model. The record is from RNAcentral.